CAAUACUUCAUCAAAGCUACUACUUUCACUAUCAAUCAUUAUCACACUUCAAUUCUUGUUCGUCCCUUUAAUAGUUCUCGAUUCUUUUGUGGGUUUUUCGAAGAGGUUAAUAUUGUGCUUCAGCUUGCGAUUUUCGGGUCAAGAUUGGAUCAAAAGAAUAGUUUUUCGGAUCUUUUCUGGGUAAUAUUACUCUCAUUAUUUCCCUUUAAUCAAAUUGCGGGUUCGUAGAGGAACCUUUUUGACUUGAGAUUGAGGUACAUUGACUGUGUUUGCUACUAAGGGACUUGAAGAUAGUUAGCUCCAGUUGGGUUAAAGAGUGCGUUGGAUCCCUUUUGAUUUAGUAGGACUUUAAAAGACUUCCGCUGUUUUUUAUUUAUUUGACUAUAAGAUUUAUGUUCUGGUUUGUAAUAAUUAUUUUACAUUCUAUUUAGUUGGUCUUUAAUAAUUAGUUAAAACUUUUGGUUAUUGUUUUAGUUAGAACCAUUAGCCUUGCGGUUAUUAUUAAUAAUUAUCGCGGCGUAGCACCUUUGGAUUUC
Long non-coding RNA from Beta vulgaris subsp. vulgaris (sugar beet), 536 nucleotides. RefSeq lists it as uncharacterized. The record is from RefSeq and is a predicted model, not a curated record. Lineage: Eukaryota; Viridiplantae; Streptophyta; Magnoliopsida; Caryophyllales; Amaranthaceae. The transcript is spliced from 3 exons.